Molecule: ribosomal RNA, 217 nt
Filed under: uncultured bacterium
Lineage: Bacteria
Description: partial 16S ribosomal RNA
Rfam family: Bacterial small subunit ribosomal RNA
Source: RNAcentral
GCAAGUCGAACGAACCUUCGGGUUAGUGGCGGACGGGUGAGUAACGCGUGAGAAUCUGCCCUCAGGAGGGGGAUAACGGUUGGAAACGACCGCUAAUACCCCAUAUGCCGCGAGGUGAAAUGAAUUUCGCCUGAGGAUGAGCUCGCGUCUGAUUAGUUAGUUGGUGAGGUAAUGGCCUACCAAGACGAUGAUGCAUAGCCGACCUGAGAGGGUGAUC